CCGCUAUUCUGCAGUGAUUUUCUUCCAAUCCAGUAUCAUUUGUACGUUGCAGCAUCAUCGAACACCAUGACCCAUGAAUCAGAAGAUAACGUAGAUGCUACGAGAGAGCUCAUUUCACAAUGGACAACAGAAGUGUUACGUGACUUUCUACAAGGAGGGGACUCAAGCUUGGAAAUCGAGUACCGGUAGUCAUUAUUUUAUGGGUGUUCUCUGCCUUGACUCUGGGGGUACUGUUCAGCCAUCCGAGGUAGAGAUAAACUGGACGAUGGAUGGAGAGGGGGCGGGGGGGGGGGGGGGGGGGGGGGGAGAAAGGCAUGCAGACUGCAGAGCUGAUCGUCUACUAUGUAUAGAGACAUUUGUGUGUACCUAGUAGAUAAGGACCCUCCAUCACUAGAGGGAAGAAUGAGAGACUACAAAGAGGGAAAGGCAUUUAGUUAUUUUGCCAGUUUCUGGUUAGGGAGAUAUUUUUUUCAUCUCGUGGGAGAAAGCUGUCUGUAAUUCAAAAUCAUUUGAUACUUGAAUAAAUUUAGUUCAUUUUCUAGACUGUUUCAUGUCAAA
Molecule: long non-coding RNA, 558 nt
Filed under: Strongylocentrotus purpuratus (purple sea urchin)
Lineage: Eukaryota; Metazoa; Echinodermata; Echinoidea; Camarodonta; Strongylocentrotidae
Description: uncharacterized LOC115924109
Source: RNAcentral